Molecule: ribosomal RNA, 233 nt
Filed under: Hanseniaspora uvarum
Lineage: Eukaryota; Fungi; Ascomycota; Saccharomycetes; Saccharomycodales; Saccharomycodaceae
Description: partial large subunit ribosomal RNA
Source: RNAcentral
ACUUUUCGCAUGGUGUUUUUGCAUGCACUCGCUCUCGUGGGCUUGGGCCUCUCAAAAAUUUCACUGGGCCAACAUCAAUUCUGGCAGCAGGAUAAAUCAUUAAGAAUGUAGCUACUUCGGUAGUGUUAUAGCUUUUUGGAAUACUGUUAGCCGGGAUUGAGGACUGCGCUUCGGCAAGGAUGUUGGCAUAAUGGUUAAAUGCCGCCCGUCUUGAAACACGGACCAAGGAGUCA